GGAGACGUGGCCGAGAGGCUGAAGGCACUCGUUUGCUAAAUGAGCGUACCCCCAAAAGGGUACCGAGGGUUCGAAUCCCUCCGUCUCCGCCA
This 92-nucleotide transfer RNA is filed under the name Caulobacter mirabilis. RNAcentral describes it as "tRNA-Ser". It matches the Rfam family "tRNA". Rfam says of the family: Transfer RNA (tRNA) molecules are approximately 80 nucleotides in length. Their secondary structure includes four short double-helical elements and three loops (D, anti-codon, and T loops). Lineage: Bacteria; Pseudomonadati; Pseudomonadota; Alphaproteobacteria; Caulobacterales; Caulobacteraceae. RNAcentral also lists the same sequence under 6 other names. The record is from RNAcentral.